AGCAGCCGCGGUAAUUCCAGCUCCAAUAGCGUAUAUUAAAGUUGUUGCAGUUAAAAAGCUCGUAGUUGAAUUUCGGGAUCAAUAUGUUGGUCGUGCCUUGGUACGUACUGGCAUUAUUGGUUUCUACCUUCUGAAGAACCUCGAUGUCAUUAAUUUGGUGUCUUGGGGAAUCAGGACUGUUACUUUGAAAAAAUUAGAGUGUUUAAAGCAGGCUCGCGCUUGAAUACAUUAGCAUGGAAUAAUGAAAUAGGACGUUUGAUUCUAUUUUGUUGGUUUCUAGGAUCGACGUAAUGAUUAAUAGGGAUAGUUGGGGCGAUUAGUAUUCAAUUGUCAGAGGUGAAAUUCUUGGAUUUAUUGAAGACUAACUACUGCGAAAGCAUUUGCCAAGGAUGUUUUCAUUAAUCAAGAACGAAAGUUAGGGGAUCGAAGACGAUCAGAUACUGUCGUAGUCCUAACCAUAAACUAUGCCGACUAGGGAUCGGAUGAUGUUAAUUUUUUCAAUGACUCAUUCGGCGCCUUA
This 520-nucleotide ribosomal RNA is filed under the name uncultured Glomus. RNAcentral describes it as "SSU rRNA". It matches the Rfam family "Eukaryotic small subunit ribosomal RNA", at positions 569 to 1090 of the family's 1831-position model. Lineage: Eukaryota; Fungi; Glomeromycota; Glomeromycetes; Glomerales; Glomeraceae. The record is from RNAcentral.